Molecule: ribosomal RNA, 305 nt
Filed under: uncultured bacterium
Lineage: Bacteria
Description: bacterial SSU rRNA
Rfam family: Bacterial small subunit ribosomal RNA
Source: RNAcentral
CCUACGGGGGGCAGCAGUGAGGGAUAUUGGGCAAUGGGGGAAACCCUGACCCAGCGACGCCGCGUGAGGGAAGACGGUCUUCGGAUUGUAAACCUCUGUCUUUGGGGACGAAAAAGGACGGUACCCAAGGAGGAAGCUCCGGCUAACUACGUGCCAGCAGCCGCGGUAAUACGUAGGGAGCGAGCGUUGUCCGGAAUUACUGGGUGUAAAGGGAGCGUAGGCGGGAUUGCAAGUUGGAUGUGAAAACUGCGGGCUCAACCCGGAGCGUGCAUUCAAAACUGCGAUUCUUGAGUGAAGUAGAGGCA